Molecule: long non-coding RNA, 5104 nt
Filed under: Homo sapiens (human)
Lineage: Eukaryota; Metazoa; Chordata; Mammalia; Primates; Hominidae
Description: HSALNT0388260
Source: RNAcentral
AAUUGUGCCUACAUCUGUUCAUCUACUUUUGUAUAAACAUAUAAACACACGAAAAGAAUAUAUUCACUUUAUUCAGAAUAAAACUAUACUCAAAGUUAUGGGGCCCUAAAAAAAAAUUUUAAAGGAUACAAAAAAAUGGAAAGAUAUUCCAUGUUUAUGGAUUAGACGAAUCAAUAUUGUUAAAUGUCCAUACUACCCAAAGCAAUCUACAGAUGCAAUGCAAUCCCUAUCAAAAUAUCAAUGACAUUUUUCACAGAAAUAGAAAAAACAAUCCUAAAGUUUAUAUGGGAACACACACACACACACACACACACACACACACACACACACACAGACACACACAAGCCCAGAAUAGCCAAAGCUAUCCUGAGCAAAAAGAACAAAACUGGAGGAAUCACAUUGCCUUACUUCAAAUUAUACUACAGAGCUAUAGUAGCCAAAACAGCAUGGUAGAGUUACAAAAACAGACACAUAGACAAGUGGAACAGAAUAGAGAACCCAGAAAUAAAUCCACACAUCUACAGUGAACUCAUUUUUGACAAAGAUGUUAAGAACAUACAUCAGGGAAAGGACAGUCUCUUCAAUAAAUGGUGCUGGGAAAACUGGAUAUCCAUAUGCAGAAGAAUGAAACUACACUCCUAUCUCUUGCCACAUACAAAAAUCAAAUCAAAUGCAUUAAAGACUUAAGUCUAAAGAUUUAAAUCUAUGUUCUCAAACUAUGAAACUACUACAAGAAAACAUAGGGGGAAAUCUCCAGGAUAUUGGUCUGGGCAAAAAUUUCUUGAGUAAUACCCCACAAGCACAGGCAAUUGAAGCAAAAAUCAACAAAAGAGAUCACAUCAAGUUAAAAAAAAAAACAAACUUCUGUAUAGCAAAGGAUGCAAUCAACAAAGUGAAGAGACAACCCACAUAAUGGGUGAAAAUAUUUGCAAACUACCCAUUUGACAAGGGAUUAAUAACAAGAAUACAUAAGGAGCUCAGACAACUCUAUAGGAAAAUAACCUAAUAAUCUGAUUAAAACAGACAAAAUAUCUGAAUAGACAUUUCUCAAAAGAAGAUAUCCAAAUGUCAAAUAGGUAAAUGAAAAGGUGCUCAACAUCACUGAUCAGAGAAAUGCAAAUCAAAACUACAAUGAGAAAUCAUCUUACCACAGGUUAAAAAUGGCUUAUAUCCAAAAGACAGGCAAUAACAAAUGCUGGUGAGGAUGUGGAGAAAAGGGAACCCUUGUACACUGUUGGUGGGAUUGUAAAUUAAUACAACCACUAUGGAGGUUCAUCAAAACACUAAAAGUAGAGCUACCAUAUGAUUGAGCAAUCCCAUUGCUAGGUAUAUACUCGAAAGAAAGGAAAUCAGAAUAUCGAAGAUGUAUCUGUACUCUCAUGUUUCUUGCAGCACUAUUCACAAUAGCCAAGAUUUGGAAGCAAACUAAAUGUUCAUCAACAGCUGAAUCAAUAAAGAAAAUAUAGUACAAUUACAUAAUGGAGUGCUAUUCAGCCAUAAAAAAAUAAGAUUCCGUCAUUUGCAACAACAUGGAUGGAACUGGAGGUCAUUAUGUUAAGUGAAAUCAGUCAGGCACAGAAAGACAGACUAAAUGCUCUCACUUAUUUGUGGGAGCCAACAAUUAAAACAAUUGAACUCAUAGACGUAGAGAGUAGAAGGAUGCUUACCAGAGGCUGGGAAGCAUAAUGUGGUGGGGGGAGUGGGUAGGGCGUGGGGAAUGGAGAUGGUCAAUGGGUACAAAAAAAUUAGAAAGUGUUGGGAGCAGGCCCCCCAAAAUCUGGCCAUAAACUGUCCCUAAAAUUGACCAUAAACAAAAUCUCUGCAGCACUGUAACAUGUUCAUAAUGGCCCUAACGCCCAAGCUGGAAGGUUGUGGGUUUAUGGGAAUGAGGGCAAGGAACACCUGGCCCGCCCAGGACGGAAAACUGCUUAAAGGCGUUCUUAAGCCACAAACAAUAGCAUGAGUGAUCUGUGCCUUAAGGACAUGCUCCUGCUGCAGUUAACUAGUCCAACCUAUUCCUUUAAUUCAGCCCAUCCCUUUUCCCAUAAGGGAUACUUUUAGUUAAUUUAAUAUCUAUAGAGACAAUGCUAAUGACUGGUUUGCCAUUAAUAAAUACGUGGGUAAAUCUCUGUUCGGGGUUCUCAGCUCUGAAGGCUGUGAGACCCCUGAUUUCCUACUUCACACCUCUGUAGUUCUGUGUGUGUGUCUUUAAUUCCUCUAGCGCUGCUGGGUUAGGGUCUCCCCGACUGAGCUGGUCUCGGCAAGUGGUGUCCAUUCGUGGGGGCUCAAAUCCAGGUCGAAGGGUCGCCAGAGCAACAGUUGGAAUGGAAAACCAGCUGGAGGACACAGGAGUACUCUUAAAGCAAUCCCCGUGGCCAAAAUCAACAGCUGAUCUGGAUACCAUCAAUACACCUGAAACCUUAGCAUAAGCCAGAUUACAGGAGGAUCCCGAGGACCCCCCAGUUGCAGCCAUGUCAAGACUGAUGCUGAGGAGGACCCCAAUUGUCACGAGCAACACCCGUCAAACACAGCCACCCACCUGGGGACAGAUCAAGAAGCUGUCACAGAUGGCGGAAGAAAACCUGAGGAAAGCGGGACAACCAGUCACAAUGAAUAAUUUAAUGGUAGCUAUGAUAGCGGUUAUCACCACUGCCAUGAGUAUUCCUUCAACAGGGGCUGACACAGAGAACAGUUAUACUUAUUGGGCAUAUUUAUCAAUCUUGGCCGGCAAUAAUGCCUGGAUGCAAUCACUCUGACACAGUUACACAUGCUUUCUGAUCUCAGUAUUUACCAUAAUAAAUCUGCUCAUAUAAUUGAGGCAUACCAUCCUCAAAAACCUUUUUGUAAACAGGAUUGGACCCAGUUAGAAAAAGAUGAACGUACUUGUUUAGGAAGAUUGCUUUGCAGAACAGACAGAGGUGCUGCACAAUGAUUCCUAUGGAAUCAUUAUUAAUUGGUACCCUAAGGGGAUGUUUAGCUUGAAUUGCACCUCUCAGUCUGCGUGCCAUGGCCACACUAUGUUCAGAUGAUCUGAACAAAACGGUCAGAUGGUAGAAAUGAUAAGAAGUAUGGCAAAAGUUCCUAUUAUCUGGAACCGUGGCGGUAUAGUGGCACCUCAACCUCAAAUGAUAUGGCCUGCUCUAGAAGCUUAACAUAAGGAUUUGUGGAAACUAUUAGAUGUUCUUAAUAAGAUCAAAAUUUGGGAAAGAAUAAAAAGGCAUCUAGAAGGACACUCUACAAACUUGUUUUUGGAUAUGGCAAAAUUAAAAGAACAAAUAUUUAAAGCAUCCCAGGCACACCUGACCUUAAUGCCAGGAACUGGAGUCCUUAAAGGAGCUGCAGACAAAUUAGCAGCUAGUAACCCAUUAGAAUGGAUAAAAACACUUGGAAGCUCUGUAUUUCAAUGAUGAUUGUGCUUUUAAUCCAUGUUGUUUGUCUUUGUAUAGUGUGCAGAUGUGGAUCCUGACUCCUGUGAGAAGUAGCUCACUGUGACAAAGCUGCCUUUGCUUUUAUCUCUUUGCAAAUCAAAGAAGGGAGACAUGUUGGGAGCAGGCCCCCCCAAAAUCUGGCCAUAAACUGUCCCCAAAACUGGCCAUAAACAAAAUCUCUGCAGCACUGUAACAUGUUCAUAAUGGCCCUUAACACCCAAGCUGGAAGGUUGUGGGUUUAUUGGAAUGAGGGCAAGGAACACCUGGCCCGCCCAGGAUGGAAAACCACUUAAAGGCAUUCUUAAGCCACACACAAUAGCAUGAGCAAUCUGUGCCUUAGGGACAUGCUCCUGCUGCAGUUAACUAACCCAACCUAUUCCUUUAAUCCGGCCCAUCCCUUCGUUUCCCAUAAGGGAUACUUUUAGUUAAUUUAACAUCUAUAGAAACAAUGCUAAUGACUGGUUUGCUGUUAAUAAAUACGUGGGUAAAUCUCUGUUCGGGGGCUCUCAGCUCUGAAGGCUGUGAGACCCCUGAUUUCCCACUCCACACCUCUAUAUUUCUGUGUGUGUGUCUUUAAUUCCUCUAGUGCCACUGGGUUAGGGUCUCCCCGACCGAGCUGGUCUUGGCAAGAAAGAAUGAGUAAGACCUAUUAUUUGCUAGCACAACAGGGUGACUAUAGUAAAAAAUAAUUUAAUUAUACAUUUUAAAAUAACUAAAAGAGUAUAAUUGGAUUUUUUGUAACAUAAAGGAUAAAUGCUUUAUCCUUUAGCAAAGAUGGAUACUCCAUUCUGAUGUGAUUAUUACGCAUUGCAUGCUUUAUCAAAAUAUCUCAUGUAACCCAUAAGUAUAUAUAUCUACUAUGUACCCACAAAAAUUAAUAUUAAACUUGUCCAGGUGACUUUGGGAAUUCCCAUCCCAUUCUCACCACUGCAAAGCCUUUAGGCAAUAGGAAAAUCCUCUAAAUCAAAACAGUAUUAAACCAUAUUCAGAUAAGCCAUUUUCUUUGAGUUGGACUUAAGAGUUUGAGACUGCCUCAUGGGAAGCAUCUCAGAGGAUGAGAUAAUGGAGAAAGACUGGUGUAGUAGUUAAGGCCAUAGGGUUUUGAGCUGAACACACUUCAGUCACAUUCUGGCCAUGCCCCUAACUUGCUGUGUGACCCAUGACAUAUUACUGAGGAUACAGCCUCUAUGUCCUUAUCUAUAAAAUCAAAAUACUAAAACCUACAUCAUAGAGAUACUUGAGGAUUAAAAGGGUUACUGUGCAAACUUGCUCUUAACACAGUCUAUACAAUUUAAUAAGCAUUCGACAAAUGAUAUCAUCAUUACAUACAAGGAUACCUCAAGACUUAGAGAGGAAGCUGAGCUUGUAACUAAAGAUGAAGAAGACCAGUGCACAAAAUGGACCACCUCGGGGUCAUCAAUUGUAAUGGUUGUCAUGUUGUGGCCUUUUGAAACUGUAGUUUUGAAAAUGAAACUACAUACAAUGAAGGGAGAAAUUUUCUUUCUUGUUUUUUUUUUUUUUUUUUUUUUUUUUUUUUUUUUUUUUUUUUUGGAGAUGGAGUCUUGCUCUGUUGCCCAGGCUGGAGUGUAGUGGCAUGACCUCGGCUCACUGCAAACUCUGCCUCCCAGGUUCAAGCAAUUCUCGUGCCUCAGCCUCCUGAGUAGCUGGGAUUUCAG